RNAcentral lists this ribosomal RNA (515 nucleotides) under uncultured bacterium. Its description in RNAcentral is "partial 16S ribosomal RNA". It matches the Rfam family "Bacterial small subunit ribosomal RNA", at positions 28 to 523 of the family's 1533-position model. The record is from RNAcentral.
GAUGAACGCUGGCGGCGUGCCUAAUACAUGCAAGUCGAGCGAAUGGAUUAAGAGCUUGCUCUUAUGAAGUUAGCGGCGGACGGGUGAGUAACACGUGGGUAACCUGCCCAUAAGACUGGGAUAACUCCGGGAAACCGGGGCUAAUACCGGAUAACAUUUUGAACCGCAUGGUUCGAAAUUGAAAGGCGGCUUCGGCUGUCACUCAUGGAUGGACCCGCGUCGCAUUAGCUAGUUGGUGAGGUAACGGCUCACCAAGGCAACGAUGCGUAGCCGACCUGAGAGGGGGAUCGGCCACACUGGGACUGGGACACGGCCCAGACUCCUACGGGAGGCGGCAGUAGGGAAUCUUCCGCAAUGGACGAAAGUCUGACGGAGCAACGCCGCGUGAGUGAUGAAGGCUUUCGGGUCGUAAAACUCUGUUGUUAGGGAAGAACAAGUGCUAGUUGAAUAAGCUGGCACCUUGACGGUACCUAACCAGAAAGCCACGGCUAACUACGUGCCAGCCGCCGCAGUAA